Molecule: ribosomal RNA, 433 nt
Filed under: uncultured bacterium
Lineage: Bacteria
Description: partial 16S ribosomal RNA
Rfam family: Bacterial small subunit ribosomal RNA
Source: RNAcentral
AACGAACGCUGGCGGCAGGCUUAACACAUGCAAGUCGAGCGAGACCUUCGGGUCUAGCGGCGGACGGGUGAGUAACGCGUGGGAACGUGCCCUUCUCUACGGAAUAGCCCCGGGAAACUGGUAGUAAUACCGUAUACGCCCUUUGGUGGAAAGAUUUAUCGGAGAAGGAUCGGCCCGCGUUGGAUUAGGUAGUUGGUGGGGUAAUGGCCCACCAAUCCGACGAUCCAUAGCUGGUUUGAGAGGAUGAUCAGCCACACUGGGACUGAGACACGGCCCAGAAUCCUACGGGAGGCAGCAGUGGGGAAUCUUAGAAAAUGGGGGCAACCCUGAUCUAGCCAUGCCGCGUGAGUGAUGAAGGCCUUAGGGUUGUAAAGCUCUUUAAGCUGGGAAGAUAAUGACGGUACCAGCAGAAGAAGCCCCGGCUAACUCCGUG